Heterocephalus glaber (naked mole-rat) is the source of this 2056-nucleotide long non-coding RNA. Lineage: Eukaryota; Metazoa; Chordata; Mammalia; Rodentia; Bathyergidae. The record is from Ensembl.
GUGGGAGGCGCGGAGCCCGAGGCAGGCCAGGUCUAAUUCUCCUCCUGGAGAGCUGGGCUGGGCAGGGCGGGGCUGGAGGGUGAGCCGGGCCUCCGAGGCCCUGGAGGAAGACGGAGGGAGGCUGCGGCCCUGGCCCUGGCCCUGGCCCUGGCCCUGAGCCCCUGAGCGCCGGGCUGGGUGCCGGCUCUGCCUAGGAUACCUGGGCGACAGGUCGCGGGUGAGGGAGGCAGGGAGGGAGCGUCCGUCAUGGGGCUCAGAGCUUGGCGGGUUUUCUGGGUCAUUCUGAGUCCCGUGCUGGGCCACACACUUCCUUUCAUGUUUCUGGCUUGGUUUUCCUGACUCAUGGUCCCUGUCCUCCCUGAUAUUCUUGGCGUCGCGUGACCGCAGGAGCCAGGGUUCCGGCGCUGUGCUGGGAGAAGCCCAGGGCCCGACCCCGCGAGGCUGCCAGGCCCCCUUCCUCCCUGGCCCGCGAUGUCGAUGUCGCAGUAGACCGAGCACAAGAGCCUCGGAAGUUGCCGGUAUUUACACGAGCCAGCCAGCGGUUCUUGUUCUUUGUUCCUGCCGCCUCUCAUAACGUCACACCCUCUCCUGGCCACAAGCGCCCCACCGCGUGCGCGUGCGCGGCCUGGCGCUUCAUCAGGCUCCCGACCUCCAUCUCACCAUCUAACUGGGACCGGGCCCAGUCCCGGCAGCUCUUUCCGGUUUCCUCUGGCAGCCACAUGCAGCCCAGCAGCAAGCCUGUCAGCUCCAGGGCACCGCCCGGCCGCAGGCCCUCUCCGCCACCUAGCACAGGGAGCGCGCUGCUGCCCAGUGGCGCCUGACUUCCUCACUGCCCUUGGCUCUGGCCACCUGGCCUUCCUGCCUGCCCCAAAGGCCCCAGCGGCUUCUGUCUCGGGCCCUUUGCACCUGCUCCCCUCCAUCUGGACAGCUUCCCCAUGUCACCUGUGGAGAGCUGCGUGUGCCGCGCCUUAAAGAUGGCGCUGGUUUCCGCCUUCCGCCAUCCCGACGGCGAGAGCUCUUUAUGAUAAACAACUCCUUAUUUGGCUGUGAUGUGUCUGAUGCUCUGCCCCCUCUUACGUGUACCUAUCCGCAUUCGCCACAUGACUAUCCGUGAUUGGUUGGUUCAGGGGUACUUAUUCUAGGGACGGGUGCUCCCCAGGGGUAGAAGAAAAAGAAUGUUAAGUUUUCCUGAAUAAACUGCUAGAAGAAGAGCGUUGGUGUUGCGUCGUCAUUGCUGGUCAAAGGCGAACGCGACAGUCACCUUCUCCUGGACGCCUUUCUGAACUCAUUCUCACCUCUCCAGUCUGUUAGCCGAAUCCUUAAUCUGCUCUAUCCCACUCAUGCACUUGAUCAGGGAUACACCUCAUCCACCUUGUUACACACUUAGUAAUGACAGAUUUCGGCUGAUGACGGAUAUACUUUACUGGCCUCACCACAUGUCCUAAGGGCAGGGACCAUGACUGAUCUGUCCUCAGUCUCCUAAACACCCUUCGUAUCUUGAAGGCUCAAGGUCUUGUGGACUAUUUAAGAGGAUGAGCUAUCACUGAAAGGAGAAGAGACAGGCUGAAAUGGGCCAGGGAUUUAGCUCAGUGGUUCUGCUGCCUGCCUCGCAAACGCAAGGUCCAGAGUUCGAUCCCUGGUACCAGAAGGAAAAAAAGAAAUGAAAAAAGAGACAGACUGAAGAACAAACAAAAGGAGAGGAGAAAAAAGGAAAAGAAAAGAAGGGCUAGGCUAAGGCCUGUCCUACCUCUAACAUCCCCUGUGUCAUGGAUGGUUGUUGUGCUGUCUUACGCCACAGUAGGCAUCCUGGGCAGAGGUAGCAAAGGGUGGGGGCAGUUACGUGGGAGGCACCUGCCUAAGGAAGGGAAGAUAUGGAUGGUAACAGAGAGGCAGGAUCCAGCUGUGAUCAAGUGAAGCAAGCAAAACCAAACCGACACACUAAACCACCUCCACCCUCUCUAAAGAGAGUGAACUGAGAGGGAACCAGAAGAUCAAGUGCAGAGUUGUUAGGAAGUCUGGAGAGGAAGGGAGAAGGUCUAGAGAAGUGAGAUCUUUC